This 468-nucleotide ribosomal RNA is filed under the name uncultured bacterium. RNAcentral's name for it is "partial 16S ribosomal RNA". It matches the Rfam family "Bacterial small subunit ribosomal RNA", at positions 28 to 507 of the family's 1533-position model. The record is from RNAcentral.
GAUGAACGCUGGCGGCGUGCUUAACACAUGCAAGUCGAACGGAAAGGCCGAAGCUUGCUUCGGUACUCGAGUGGCGAACGGGUGAGUAACACGUGGGUGAUCUGCCCUGUACUUCGGGAUAAGCUUGGGAAACUGGGUCUAAUACCGGAUAUGACGAUCUCUUGGAUGGGGUUGUGGAAAGCUUUUGCGGUAUGGGAUGAGCUCGCGGCCUAUCAGCUUGUUGGUGGGGUAAUGGCCUACCAAGGCGUCGACGGGUAGCCGGCCUGAGAGGGUGUACGGCCACAUUGGGACGGAGAUACGGCCCAGACUCCGACGGGAGGCAGCAGUGGGGAAUAUUGCACAAUGGGCGCAAGCCUGAUGCAGCGACGCCGCGUGGGGGAUGACGGCCUUCGGGUUGUAAACUCCUUUCGCAAUCGACGAAGCCUUUUGGUGACGGUAGGUUGAGAAGAAGCACCGGCUAACUACGUG